RNAcentral lists this ribosomal RNA (497 nucleotides) under uncultured bacterium. RNAcentral's name for it is "partial 16S ribosomal RNA". It matches the Rfam family "Bacterial small subunit ribosomal RNA", at positions 28 to 507 of the family's 1533-position model. The record is from RNAcentral.
GAUGAACGCUGGCGGCGUGCCUAAUACAUGCAAGUCGAGCGAACAGACGAGGAGCUUGCUCCUCUGACGUUAGCGGCGGACGGGUGAGUAACACGUGGAUAACCUACCUAUAAGACUGGGAUAACUUCGGGAAACCGGAGCUAAUACCGGAUAAUAUAUUGAACCGCAUGGUUCAAUAGUGAAAGACGGUUUUGCUGUCACUUAUAGAUGGAUCCGCGCCGCAUUAGCUAGUUGGUAAGGUAACGGCUUACCAAGGCAACGAUGCGUAGCCGACCUGAGAGGGUCAUCGGCCACACUGGAACUGAGACACGGUCCAGACUCCUGCGGGAGGCAGCAGUAGGGAAUCUUCCGCAAUGGGCGAAAGCUUGACGGAGCAACGCCGCGUGAGUGAUGAAGAUCUCCGGAUCGUAAAACUCUGUUAUUAGGGAAGAACAAAUGUGUAAGUAACUAUGCACGUCUUGACGGUACCUAAACAGAAAGCCACGGCUAACUACGUG